UACCUACGGGGGGCAGCAGUGAGGAAUAUUGGUCAAUGGGCGGGAGCCUGAACCAGCCAAGCCGCGUGAGGGAAGAAGGUACAGCGUAUCGUAAACCUCUUUUGUCAGGGAACAAAGGCGGGGACUAGUCCCCGGAUGAGGGUACCUGAAGAAAAAGCAUCGGCUAACUACGUGCCAGCAGCCGCGGUAAUACGGAGGUGGCAAGCGUUAUCCGGAUUUAUUGGGCGGAAAGGGAACGCAGGCGGUCUUUUAAGGCUGAUGUGAAAGCCUUCGGCUUAAACGGAGGAGGGGAUUGGAAAAUGGGG
Molecule: ribosomal RNA, 305 nt
Filed under: uncultured bacterium
Lineage: Bacteria
Description: bacterial SSU rRNA
Rfam family: Bacterial small subunit ribosomal RNA
Source: RNAcentral